CCUACGGGUGGCAGCAGUGGGGAAUUUUCCGCAAUGGGCGAAAGCCUGACGGAGCAAGACCGCGUGAGGGAGGAAGGCUCUUGGGUUGUAAACCUCUUUUCUUUGGGAAGAAGCAAGUGACGGUACCAAAGGAAUCAGCAUCGGCUAACUCCGUGCCAGCAGCCGCGGUAAUACGGAGGAUGCAAGCGUUAUCCGGAAUCAUUGGGCGUAAAGCGUCCGCAGGUGGCUGUGCAAGUCUGCGGUCAAAGACAGUGGCUCAACUACUGAAAGGCCGUGGAAA
RNAcentral lists this ribosomal RNA (280 nucleotides) under uncultured cyanobacterium. Its description in RNAcentral is "partial 16S ribosomal RNA". It matches the Rfam family "Bacterial small subunit ribosomal RNA", at positions 338 to 632 of the family's 1533-position model. The record is from RNAcentral. Lineage: Bacteria; Bacillati; Cyanobacteriota.